Molecule: ribosomal RNA, 239 nt
Filed under: uncultured bacterium
Lineage: Bacteria
Description: partial 16S ribosomal RNA
Rfam family: Bacterial small subunit ribosomal RNA
Source: RNAcentral
GAUCCUGGCUCAGGAUGAACGCUGGCGGCGUGCCUAAUACAUGCAAGUAGAACGCUGAAGGAAGGAGCUUGCUCUUUCCGGAUGAGUUGCGAACGGGUGAGUAACGCGUAGGUAACCUGCCUGGUAGCGGGGGAUAACUAUUGGAAACGAUAGCUAAUACCGCAUAACAAUAGAUGUUGCAUAACAACUAUCUGAAAGGGGCAAUUGCUCCACUACCAGAUGGACCUGCGUUGUAUUAG